CUUGAAGCUACUAGGCAGGCGGGGUUUUGUUUUGCUUUGUUGGUGAGCUUUGCUGUUCGAAGAUGAUUGGCUGACGACUGAUAUAAAAUGCAUCGGUUUUGUUUCCUCCACGGCAGUCGCCAAAAAGAGAAGAUAAAAAAGGAAAUGGUUUUCACAUCAUACACCAACCUAAUGUGGAUGUACAAAUAUAUUUACAUUUUUUAAUAUAAAAGAUUUAUUUAAUAAACAAUACAUGAUGCACAAUGCAGCACCGUCUAAUAAUAGUUCAGAUCCACUUUGGCUUAUGAAUGAGAUGAUAGAGGAAUAUUCUAAAAAAUUAGAAUCUACAAAUGGCCCAGUAGUUUAUAAAAAUGGAGAAAUUUUAGAUUAUAAUGCUGACAUGGAGCUGGUGAUUCCAAAGGAAACACCUUGCAAAAUAAUCAUUCAUACACAUGAUAAACAAUAUAUUCUUAAUGGACUCGGCUGUUAUUAUGGUUGUGGCCAUGUCUUGACUGCCUUGCAUGUAGUUAGAGAUACAGAUUUAGGGAUACUCAUUGCUUUUCCUACUAAAGACAUUAAACUGAUCUACAAGGCUGAGUUUACUAAAUGCUGUAACCGUGACAAAGCUCGAGAUCUGGCUUUUGUUAAAUUACUAGGCAAUACUAGUCCCCUUGGAGAUGGUUUACAAAACCAGAUCGCUGAAAUGGACAAAAAUGACAGUAUAUACUUUAAUACCCGAGAUCCUAAUAAUAAUUUUCAGAAGCAGGAGGGUAAAAUUCUUCACCAAUUUCCAAGCUCGUUUGAAAUGUCUGUAGCAGGUAAACCUGGAGACAGUGGCUCACCUGUUUUCAACGCUAAACAUGAACUGAUUGGCAUAUAUCAAGGUGUCAAAAAGAAAAACGGCGUCGCUUGUAAAACCUUUCUGUGCUUAACACCCUGGAGCCAAAAAAAUGAUCGCAGUCUUACAGAGAUACUCAGAGAUAAAUUCAAGUUGGUUCCAAGCUUUUUUGGGAACCUGCUGAGGAACUCCUGUAACAACUGACCUGUGAUUUCUCAAAUGUUUAAAAAAAGAAAUAAAACAUAGAAAUAAAACAUAAAAAGCAAUCGUUAAAAAUUUGCUCGUGCCUGACGGCAAAGAAAAUCUUUAUUUUUCUUCUUUUCUAUCAUGACAUUUGUCUUUCCCUUUCUAUGUUAGGAAGCCCAGCCUGAGCAUCUUUUGUGUGUGUGUGUGUGUGUGUGUGUGUAUGUGUGUGUGUUUCGUUUUUACUUGCUGUCAGACUAAAAAAGCAAAGUCUUUGAAAGCUCGCCUCCAAGCACAAUCCGAGUCCCCUGAGUUUCACCUGCUGACAGCAAACAUUUAUUACACUUGUGCCAACAACUGAGAGAUCAACUCACAUAGAAAAUGGAAAUGGAAACUCAGCCAAACCCCACACCUGGCGCAGAUCUGACCUGGUCCAGUCAUAACGACGCAAGAGCAGCUUUACAUUUACAUUUAUAUUCACAUAAUUUGACAGACGCCCUUCUCCAGAGCGACGUACGAAAGUGCUUAAGUCUCUAUCAUUAGAUACAUUAACUCUGGUUCACUAGGUUACAUACUGAAGAUACCAACAUCAGCAUCAAGAUCAGCAUCAGCCUCACUUACAUCUGCAGCAAACCAGCAGGGAAACCAAGCUGAAAAGAGCAGUAAACUGCCAAAAAGUAAACGCCAUCUAAAGCCUGCUGGCAUGAGUAGCUCUCUAAAAUCUUUAAAUAUUUGUGUCUGGUUUACACGUGGCUCGCACUGGCUCACAUGUUAUACGGAGAAAUCUCAGGCUUGGCUCACAAAUACAGAAAGGGACAGAACUCCUUGUUAGAAAAAAGGUCUUAUAUAAGUUUAAAAAAAAUUAAAUAAAUAAUAACUGCACAUGUUGCAUAAAUCCUCUUGCAGAAAAAAAUAAACAAGCUAAAAUAUUGUUACAAUAUAUAUUUUAAUAUUAUAUAUUUUUAUAAAAUAUAUAUAAAUGUAAAAUAUAUUCAUUAUUAUUAUUAUUAUUAUUAUUAUUAUUAUUAUUAUUAUUAAUACUCAUGGUAUCUUAAAUAUGUAACCUAGUAAAUGAGCAUUGAUGUAUCCAAAAAUAGAGAUUUAAGCACAUAUGUAUGUCGCUCUGGAUAAGGGCGUCUGCCAAAUGCUGUAAAUGUAAAUGUAGGUCAAGGUGUAUGAUCCUGUGGAAACCAUUUCCUAUUCCAAUUUACCUGACGGCUGCCCAGAGUGAGGUGCUCAAAUUUAAGUUUUUCAGAAAAAAAAGCCUCACCUUUAAUUUACUGGACAAAAGACACCUGGAUGCAGAAGAUUUCUCUCUACAGAAUGCUGCUGUAAUCGUCAUCAACGAAAUCAUCGCUUCAGCACAUUUAGUCCAUUACUUUUCUCCAUCUGUGGACUGUAAUUAUAUCUAAUUGCAUUAUUUGGUGUCACCCACAAGAGGAUGGGUUCCUUUUUGAGUCUGGUUCCUCUCAAGGUUUCUUCCUUAUGUCAUCUCAGGGAGUUUUUCCUUGCCACCGUCGCCAUAGGCUUGCUCACUAAGGACUUCAGUCUAUAUCCAGUAUUCUGUAACAAACAUUUAUUGAAAGGAAACGAAUUGUACAAAUAAAUUUGAUCUGAAUUGA
Molecule: long non-coding RNA, 2622 nt
Organism: Tachysurus fulvidraco (yellow catfish)
Lineage: Eukaryota; Metazoa; Chordata; Actinopteri; Siluriformes; Bagridae
Exons: 3
Source: RefSeq, a predicted model, not a curated record